This 277-nucleotide small RNA is filed under the name Pan troglodytes (chimpanzee). RNAcentral's name for it is "processed transcript". RNAcentral also lists the same sequence under 1 other name. Lineage: Eukaryota; Metazoa; Chordata; Mammalia; Primates; Hominidae. The record is from RNAcentral.
GGCGGCAGCGGGUCGGUGUAGAAAAUGGCGCUGGUGCAGCGGCUCGGGCCUCUCCCCGCGGCGCUGCGGAGGGCUUGAGGCUCGCGAGCCUCCUUCGCCGCGCCCCACUUGCUCGUGCACUUUACACACAUGAGAGAAUUGGAAGCUAAAGCUACCAAAGACGUAGAAAGAAAUCUUAGCAGUGCCAGAACAGAUAAAGCCCAGUGUAAGCCAGCCUCAGCCUGCCAACUCUAAUAACGGCACUUCCACAGCAACCAGCACUAAUAAUAAUGCCAAG